Drosophila virilis is the source of this 481-nucleotide non-coding RNA. NCBI's taxonomy places the organism in Eukaryota, Metazoa, Arthropoda, Insecta, Diptera, Drosophilidae. The record is from RefSeq and is a predicted model, not a curated record.
GUUUGUCAAACUGUUGUUUUUUUUUUACUUCCGAUUUUUAACUAAAUGUAUUUGAAGUGGGAAAUUUUAGUAGAGAUUAGGACAAACUGGUUAAAGCACGAAUUGCGGCUUAAUUUUUACUAUAAAGCGAUAUCAAAUCGAAUCAUCUGAAUUGUUAACCGAAAUGAAAGUAUGUAUACUUAUCUAACCAUCUCUGGUGGAUGCCAAUCUUCGUGGAACAAUCAUCUCUUAAUUGAACAUUGGAUUAUUUAAUUAACUUUAUUAAAAUCCUAGAUAAAGUCGCUUCGGAACGUGAACCGAACUACUGAGAAUUUAUUAUGUUGUCUUGCAGCCCUGGUUAAUAUUUAAAAAAUAAUUUUAAUAACAUAUUUAAAAGUUGACCAGUAUUCGAUUUAGUAAAGACUUUGAAGAUGCCUAUUCCAAGACCCAAACUAAGAUAAACUUAAAUUAUGCCUAUGAUAAUAAAAAGUAUGCCCUUUAA